ACUCCUAUGGUGUAAAUAGCACAGUAAGUUUUCGUCUUACAAGAAUAAAAAUUUUUAUUAGUAGUCCC
RNAcentral lists this transfer RNA (68 nucleotides) under Solemya velum (Atlantic awning clam). RNAcentral's name for it is "tRNA-Glu". The record is from RNAcentral. Lineage: Eukaryota; Metazoa; Mollusca; Bivalvia; Solemyida; Solemyidae.